GAUGAACGCUGGCGGCGUGCCUAAUACAUGCAAGUCGAGCGAACAGACGAGGAGCUUGCUCCUCUGACGUUAGCGGCGGACGGGUGAGUAACACGUGGAUAACCUACCUAUAACACUGGGAUAACUUCGGGAAACCGGAGCUAAUACCGGAUAAUAUAUUGAACCGCAUGGUUCAAUAGUGAAAGACGGUUUUGCUGUCACUUAUAGAUGGAUCCGCGCCGCAUUAGCUAGUUGGUAAGGUAACGGCUUACCAAGGCAACGAUGCGUAGCCGACCUGAGAGGGUGAUCGGCCACACUGGAACUGAGACACGGUCCAGACUCCUACGGGAGGCAGCAGUAGGGAAUCUUCCGCAAUGGGCGAAAGCCUGACGGAGCAACGCCGCGUGAGUGAUGAAGGUCUUCGGAUCGUAAAACUCUGUUAUUAGGGAAGAACAAAUGUGUAAGUAACUAUGCACGUCUUGACGGUACCUAAUCAGAAAGCCACGGCUAACUACGUG
This 497-nucleotide ribosomal RNA is filed under the name uncultured bacterium. RNAcentral's name for it is "partial 16S ribosomal RNA". It matches the Rfam family "Bacterial small subunit ribosomal RNA", at positions 28 to 507 of the family's 1533-position model. The record is from RNAcentral.